CAGGUUCUUACUGGAACUUCCUGAUGCAAAUACCUCUUCACAUGCAGGGCUUUUUCUUCCACAUCCCACUGUGACUCCUGCAGAGAGGAACUGUUCUAGAAGUUUAGAAAGAAUCUCAAGCAGCAGAAAAUAAAUCUUGGCCUAAAGAUGAGCUGUUAACAUAUAAUAAGCAGGUGAAGCAGACAAGUUUGAUUAAAAGAUCAGUCUCAGCUCUGGAGAUGAAUACUUUCAAAGAUGAAACUACGUUAAAUAUGUCAGCUAAUUUCAAAACCAGCAUGAAAGAAUUGAAGGUUAUGAAGAAAUGGAUAGCUGAGCCAGAGGUUGAGACAGAGAUCAGGAAAAGCUCCCCUGCCAAGCACCCACUGAAUCAAGCCAUCUCCUGUGGUCAUCUUCAGACAACAUGGGCAGAUGUACCAGUAUUAAAAACACCUGCUGACUGGACAAGAGGAUGGCACCUUUCAGCACAUUUGUUCCUGUGAAAACCAGAUACUUAAAUGUAUAUCUGUGUCUCUAGGAAGGCUUCCUAUUCACCGUAAACUCAAUACCAAGGUGUUUUCAGUAAUCAAACAUUAUCAGACCCCCAUCAUGCCUUGUUUGUUAGUUUUUGAAAAGUUUGCAGAAGGGAGGGGAUGGAAUUCCAAAAUAAACUUCUGCUUGCAUGUGGAUCA
RNAcentral lists this long non-coding RNA (668 nucleotides) under Cyanistes caeruleus (blue tit). RNAcentral's name for it is "lncRNA (ENSCCEG00000019531.1)". Lineage: Eukaryota; Metazoa; Chordata; Aves; Passeriformes; Paridae. The record is from RNAcentral.